GUUCCUGGCUCAGGAUGAACGCUAGCUACAGGCUUAACACAUGCAAGUCGAGGGGCAGCAUGAACUUAGCUUGCUAAGUUUGAUGGCGACCGGCGCACGGGUGAGUAACACGUAUCCAACCUGCCGAUGACUCGGGGAUAGCCUUUCGAAAGAAAGAUUAAUACCCGAUGGCAUAAUUCUUCCGCAUGGUAGAACUAUUAAAGAAUUUCGGUCAUCGAUGGGGAUGCGUUCCAUUAGGUUGUUGGG
This 246-nucleotide ribosomal RNA is filed under the name uncultured bacterium. RNAcentral describes it as "partial 16S ribosomal RNA". It matches the Rfam family "Bacterial small subunit ribosomal RNA", at positions 15 to 253 of the family's 1533-position model. The record is from RNAcentral.